AACUUUGCACAGUGGCAGUAUUGUAGCCAAUGAGGUUUAUCUGAGGUGCAAUUAUUGCUAAUUGAAAACUUUUCCCAAUACCCUGACAUAACUACUUGAAAUACAGUUGGCAUUGGCAAUUGACAGUCCCUAUGGAGA
Small nuclear RNA from Aotus nancymaae (Ma's night monkey), 138 nucleotides. Its record names the gene U4. It matches the Rfam family "U4 spliceosomal RNA". From Rfam's summary of the family: U4 small nuclear RNA (U4 snRNA) is a component of the major U2-dependent spliceosome. The structure of U4 snRNA from yeast and human has been reported. U4 snRNA presents a k-turn RNA motif in the 5p-SL related to recognition of Snu13 protein. NCBI's taxonomy places the organism in Eukaryota, Metazoa, Chordata, Mammalia, Primates, Aotidae. The record is from Ensembl.